Molecule: ribosomal RNA, 449 nt
Filed under: uncultured bacterium
Lineage: Bacteria
Description: SSU rRNA
Rfam family: Bacterial small subunit ribosomal RNA
Source: RNAcentral
AGAGCGAACGCUGGCGGCAGGCCUAACACAUGCAAGUCGAGCGGCCGUAGCAAUACGGCAGCGGCAGACGGGAGAGUAACACGUGGGAACGCGCCCUUCGGUUCGGAAUAACUCAGGGAAACUUGGGCUAAUACCGGAUACGCCCUUACGGGGAAAGAUUUAUUGCCGAAGGAACGGCCCGCGUCCGAUUAGCUUGUUGGUGAGGUAACGGCUCACCAAGGCGACGAUCGGUAGCUGGUCUGAGAGGAUGACCAGCCUCACUGGGACUGAGACACGGCCCAGACUCCUACGGGAGGCAGCAGUGGGGAAUAUUGGACAAUGGGCGCAAGCCUGAUCCAGCCAUGCCGCGUGGGUGAUGAAGGCCCUAGGGUUGUAAAGCCCGUUUCGGCGGGGAAGAUAAUGACGGUACCCGCAGAAGAAGCCCCGGCUAACUUCGUGCCAGCAGCCGC